CCCCAUUGAGCUUUACUAUUAACUUGUAUUGUCAGAGCAAAGGGGAGGGGGACCCUACGGGUCUAGGGAAUACCCCGGAUCCGUUUUGCCCCCUGUCCCUAGCUUCAUAAUAAAAUUGUGGAGACUAUGUGGCAAAAGAAAAACAAGGGAUUUAAAAGAACGGGGGGGGGGAGGACCCUUAGGGGUCCCCCCCCCGGGACCCGAAGGGUCCGCCACGCCCCGUCCCGAUUUAUAUGAAAAACCACUCUUUUUAUUAAGAUUACUGUCUAACACCGUACAAGUAAGAUAGUUUGGUUGGGGCGACCGCCUUCGAAAAAGUAUCGAAGGCGCACAUAAGAUUAAUCAGGAGAAGGAUCCGAAGGAUCUUUUUCUCGGGAGUAAUGUCCCAAAAAAGGAGAUUAAUUUGACUGAGAGGGCAACAACCCGAACAGACGUCAAAGGAUAGACCGGGGGGGGAAUCCUACAGAUUCCUUCCCCCCCUUCUUUUGGCGGGUCAUAGUGAU
This 503-nucleotide ribosomal RNA is filed under the name Placozoa sp. ME-2010. Its description in RNAcentral is "partial 16S ribosomal RNA". It matches the Rfam family "Bacterial large subunit ribosomal RNA", at positions 2089 to 2419 of the family's 2925-position model. Lineage: Eukaryota; Metazoa; Placozoa. The record is from RNAcentral.